RNAcentral lists this transfer RNA (69 nucleotides) under Falcicornis taibaishanensis. Its description in RNAcentral is "tRNA-Gln". Lineage: Eukaryota; Metazoa; Arthropoda; Insecta; Coleoptera; Lucanidae. The record is from RNAcentral.
UACAUUUAAGUAUAUGAAGUACGGGAAUUUUUGAUAUUUCAAGGGGCAGUUUAAUUCUGCCAAAUGUAA